ACGCCUAAUCCCCCGAUAGAUCGGGGGAGCGGGGGAACCACCCGCAGAUGCGGGCUCCGGGGUGAAUCUCGCCACAGGCGAGUAGGCCAACUCCUUCGGCCGAACCCGUCAGCUAACCUCGCAGGCGUAGGAGGAGAG
RNAcentral lists this small RNA (138 nucleotides) under marine eukaryotic metagenome. RNAcentral's name for it is "ydaO/yuaA leader". It matches the Rfam family "c-di-AMP riboswitch aptamer (ydaO/yuaA leader)". Rfam says of the family: This family represents a conserved RNA structure found upstream of the ydaO and yuaA genes in Bacillus subtilis and related genes in other bacteria. The ydaO/yuaA element is thought to act as a genetic "off" switch for the ydaO and yuaA genes in its native state. It is believed that the element may be triggered during osmotic shock leading to activation of ydaO, a predicted amino acid transporter gene, and members of the yuaA-yubG operon which code for KtrA and KtrB K+ transporters. The record is from RNAcentral.